This 1561-nucleotide ribosomal RNA is filed under the name Salmonella enterica. RNAcentral's name for it is "partial 23S ribosomal RNA". It matches the Rfam family "Bacterial large subunit ribosomal RNA", at positions 28 to 1495 of the family's 2925-position model. The record is from RNAcentral. RNAcentral also lists the same sequence under 1 other name. Lineage: Bacteria; Pseudomonadati; Pseudomonadota; Gammaproteobacteria; Enterobacterales; Enterobacteriaceae.
AUGCCCUGGCAGUCAGAGGCGAUGAAGGGCGUGCUAAUCUGCGAUAAGCGCCGGUAAGGUGAUAUGAACCGUUAUAACCGGCGAUACCCGAAUGGGGAAACCCAGUGUGACUCGUCACACUAUCAUUAACUGAAUCCAUAGGUUAAUGAGGCGAACCGGGGGAACUGAAACAUCUAAGUACCCCGAGGAAAAGAAAUCAACCGAGAUUCCCCCAGUAGCGGCGAGCGAACGGGGAGGAGCCCAGAGCCUGAAUCAGCAUGUGUGUUAGUGGAAGCGUCUGGAAAGGCGCGCGAUACAGGGUGACAGCCCCGUACACAAAAGCGCAUGUGCUGUGAGCUCGAUGAGUAGGGCGGGACACGUGGUAUCCUGUCUGAAUAUGGGGGGACCAUCCUCCAAGGCUAAAUACUCCUGACUGACCGAUAGUGAACCAGUACCGUGAGGGAAAGGCGAAAAGAACCCCGGCGAGGGGAGUGAAAAAGAACCUGAAACCGUGUACGUACAAGCAGUGGGAGCCCCACCACCAAAGCAUUUGCUGUACCGCGUUGACGGAGCGAAGCGACGUCAAACCGAUAAAACAGCAGUGUAAAGUGAGCCGCAGGGCGCUUUGCGCGACAGCGCAAAGGCAGGCGGUUUCGCGUAGCGAAAGCGAAUGCUUUGGGGUGGGGUGACUGCGUACCUUUUGUAUAAUGGGUCAGCGACUUAUAUUCUGUAGCAAGGUUAACCGAAUAGGGGAGCCGGAGGGAAACCGAGUCUUAAUUGGGCGUUAAGUUGCAGGGUAUAGACCCGAAACCCGGUGAUCUAGCCAUGGGCAGGUUGAAGGUUGGGUAACACUAACUGGAGGACCGAACCGACUAAUGUUGAAAAAUUAGCGGAUGACCUGUGGCUGGGGGUGAAAGGCCAAUCAAACCGGGAGAUAGCUGGUUCUCCCCGAAAGCUAUUUAGGUAGCGCCUCGUGAAUUCAUCUCCGGGGGUAGAGCACUGUUUCGGCUAGGGGGCCAUCCCGGCUUACCAACCCGAUGCAAACUGCGAAUACCGGAGAAUGUUAUCACGGGAGACACACGGCGGGUGCUAACGUCCGUCGUGAAGAGGGAAACAACCCAGACCGCCAGCUAAGGUCCCAAAGUCAUGGUUAAGUGGGAAACGAUGUGGGAAGGCCCAGACAGCCAGGAUGUUGGCUUAGAAGCAGCCAUCAUUUAAAGAAAGCGUAAUAGCUCACUGGUCGAGUCGGCCUGCGCGGAAGAUGUAACGGGGCUAAACCAUGCACCGAAGCUGCGGCAGCGACACUGUGUGUUGUUGGGUAGGGGAGCGUUCUGUAAGCCUGUGAAGGUGUGUCGUGAGGCAUGCUGGAGGUAUCAGAAGUGCGAAUGCUGACAUAAGUAACGAUAAAGCGGGUGAAAAGCCCGCUCGCCGGAAGACCAAGGGUUCCUGUCCAACGUUAAUCGGGGCAGGGUGAGUCGACCCCUAAGGCGAGGCCGAAAGGCGUAGUCGAUGGGAAACGGGUUAAUAUUCCCGUACUUGGUGUUACUGCGAAGGGGGGACGGAGAAGGCUAUGUUGGCCGGG